AGAAGAGAGGAUUUGGGGAUGGGGGCUGGAAGCGCUAACGAGACCUGCCGGGAGGAUUUGCGUCUCCUGCAGCCCGCAGGCCGCCUGCCCCUUUCCGCACCCCCCUUUCCCGUCCAGCGAGAGAAUCCUAGCUCCCAGAGCCGGUGCAGUCAGUCCCCUCGCCCCUCCCGCCCCUGCUCGGGUCCCCCUCCAGCCGUCGCUACAUCCACCACCUCGGUUCCACUCAAUCGAUUUUUGCUGCAUGUCAACACUUAUUACCGAUAUAGCAAAGCCUCUCUGCCUCUGCUGACAGUUUGCAGCAGUGCGGGAUCCCCGCGCCCACAGUCCUGGGAAGGAACCUUUAUCCUCGUCGCUCCGGAAAGAUGAGACCUAGAAUCAUCACCGCUGUCCCCGAGAAAGCAGUGGACAGCUUAUUGAAUGCAGGUAUCAAGGGGAGUGUGCGUGGGGAGCGGCUUGCUGCGCCCAGUGGAACUUUCUGCACCCAAUGGCAUCGUUCUCUGUCUUCCCAGAUCGACUGCGGGGCCUUCUCGGAGUCGCUUCAUUUGGUGCUUGCAUUUGGUUGGCCCCCAGUCUCCCCGACAGCUUCAUCCCUCUGUGUGCGGGCUAGCGGGAUGGGGAUGGGGGUUUGAAGGGAAAGAGGGGACACCAUAGUGGUCAGAGGCGGAGACCCUGCACGCCAUCCCCAGCGCUAAGAAGUGGGCUUUGCCUCUCAGAGCCUACGGCUGCAGGCUACAGAUCACUUUGUUAGAAAAUAAAAUACGAUCAAGCAAAGUAAAGUAGAAAUAGAACCCUUCUUCUAUGGGUUCUGGGCCUCGAGCGAUAUUCAUUCACAGGACACUCCUGACCUCAGCUUCUCCAGAUACCUCGUGAAAUCUGUGAAGUCAAGGGAGAUGUUCUUAUCUGAUGAGACAGUGUCUUGUUUAUCUUUCUCUGACAUAAGAGAAAAAAAAGAAGAAGAAGAGGAACCUCUUGCAAAUGCUGGGCUGCAGCUCUGGGCUACAGCUUCCUGGCGCGAAACACCUCAUCCCAGAGCCUCCUUUCCCUGCGUGGCUUGGCCAGCUUGUCAUCCGCCAUGAGCCAGGAGAUGGAUGUUUGGACAG
RNAcentral lists this long non-coding RNA (1100 nucleotides) under Aotus nancymaae (Ma's night monkey). RNAcentral describes it as "lncRNA (ENSANAG00000039306.1)". Lineage: Eukaryota; Metazoa; Chordata; Mammalia; Primates; Aotidae. The record is from RNAcentral.